ACGCUCGACACCUACGGGAGCAGCAGUGGGGAAUAUUGCGCAAUGGAGGAAACUCUGACGCAGUGACGCCGCGUAUAGGAAGAAGGUUUUCGGAUUGUAAACUAUUGUCGUUAGGGAAGAAAAAAGACAGUACCUAAGGAGGAAGCUCCGGCUAACUACGUGCCGGCAGCCGCGGUAAUCUGAGCGGGCUGGCAAGGC
RNAcentral lists this ribosomal RNA (198 nucleotides) under uncultured bacterium. RNAcentral describes it as "partial 16S ribosomal RNA". It matches the Rfam family "Bacterial small subunit ribosomal RNA", at positions 328 to 539 of the family's 1533-position model. The record is from RNAcentral.